Molecule: ribosomal RNA, 260 nt
Filed under: uncultured Staphylococcus sp.
Lineage: Bacteria; Bacillati; Bacillota; Bacilli; Caryophanales; Staphylococcaceae
Description: partial 16S ribosomal RNA
Rfam family: Bacterial small subunit ribosomal RNA
Source: RNAcentral
CGGGGUGAGUAACACGUGGAUAACCUACCUAUAAGACUGGGAUAACUUCGGGAAACCGGAGCUAAUACCGGAUAAUAUUUUGAACCGCAUGGUUCAAAAGUGAAAGACGGUCUUGCUGUCACUUAUAGAUGGAUCCGCGCUGCAUUAGCUAGUUGGUAAGGUAACGGCUUACCAAGGCAACGAUGCAUAGCCGACCUGAGAGGGUGAUCGGCCACACUGGAACUUAGACACGGUCCAGACUCCUACGGGAGGCAGCAGCA